Molecule: ribosomal RNA, 460 nt
Filed under: uncultured bacterium
Lineage: Bacteria
Description: partial 16S ribosomal RNA
Rfam family: Bacterial small subunit ribosomal RNA
Source: RNAcentral
CCUACGGGUGACAGCAGUGAGGAAUAUUGGUCAAUGGACGAGAGCCUGAACCAGCCAAGUAGCGUGCAGGAUGACUGCCCUAUGGGUUGUAAACUUCUUUUGUACGGGGAUAAAGUGCGGUACGUGUGCCUUUUUGUAUGUACUUUAUGAAUAAGGAUCGGCUAACUCCGUGCCAGCAGCCGCGGUAAUACGGAGGAUCCGAGCGUUAUCCGGAUUUAUUGGGUUUAAAGGGUGCGUAGAUGGGUUGUUAAGUCAGUGGUGAAAGUUUGCGGCUCAACCCUAAAAUUGCAACUGAUACUGGUAGCCUUGAGUACAGUUGAGGUAGGCGGAAUGCGUGGUGUAGCGGUGAAAUGCUUAGAGAUCACGAAGAACUCCGAUUGCGAAGGCAGCUUACCAAACUACCUCUGACAUUGAGGCUCGAAAGUGUGGGUAUCAAACAGGAUUAGAUACCCGUGUAGUC